RNAcentral lists this unclassified non-coding RNA (253 nucleotides) under uncultured Gemmatimonadota bacterium. RNAcentral describes it as "uncultured Gemmatimonadetes bacterium contains 16S-23S intergenic spacer region". It matches the Rfam family "Bacterial small subunit ribosomal RNA", at positions 524 to 776 of the family's 1533-position model. Lineage: Bacteria; Pseudomonadati; Gemmatimonadota. The record is from RNAcentral.
UACGGGGGGCGCAAGCGUUGUUCGGAAUUACUGGGCGUAAAGCGCGGGCAGGUGGUCCGUUUAGUCUACUGUGAAACUCCGGGGCUCAACUCCGGACAUGCAGUGGAUACUGGCGGACUAGAGACCGGUAGAGGCAAGUGGAAUUCCUGGAGUAGCGGUGGAAUGCGUAGAUAUCAGGAAGAACACCUGUGGCGAAGGCGACUUGCUGGGCCGGGUCUGACACUCAUCCGCGAAAGCGUGGGGAGCAAACAGG